Long non-coding RNA from Herpailurus yagouaroundi (jaguarundi), 653 nucleotides. RefSeq lists it as uncharacterized. The record is from RefSeq and is a predicted model, not a curated record. Lineage: Eukaryota; Metazoa; Chordata; Mammalia; Carnivora; Felidae. The transcript is spliced from 3 exons.
GAGGGGGUGGGUAGGUUCCGGAGUCACAGGUUUCCUGAUGAAUCCCUGGCUAGAUCGGCUGGCAGAGGGCAGCACGCAGAGGGAAGCACACUGAAGUGGCAGGGUCCAGGGGUUACAGCCGAGACAGGAGGAUCCACAACACUGCAAACAGUUCCUACGGAUCCUUUAAGGAAAACGUUUGCUCCUGCCCUGUGCUGCUGGAUGCCGGAAACAGGCGUGUCCUCAGUGGACAGCAGCCUGAAUUCGUAACAUUAUAAUCAAGACGCGGCAGUGGGAGAGAAAAUAAUGUGCGUGACCGCACGGAGAAGAGACGCCAGUCUGACACAGGUCGAAACCGGGCUGACCCACGUGGAAAUAAGUCCACAGCACGCGCCUCAGGAGUAGCGGGGAAGUUAUUAUGCUAAGAGAAUCACCGUGUAAUCAUUUCUGGAGGACACCUGCAGCACCGGCUUUGGUCAACAGGACCACGGACACAAACAAAACACACACACUCACUUCCCUCCGGGAUGUGACAUGGUGGACCAGCCCUGGAUGCAGGCACACGUGGGAGAUGUGGAAGCUGACGACUUCAGGCAAGACUCUUCCCCUCUCCUCCGUGGCUUCCUCAGUGGGCUGUCCGGGAGGGGCUGAGAGAGAAUGUCGGCCGCUACGAG